Passer domesticus (house sparrow) is the source of this 952-nucleotide long non-coding RNA. RefSeq lists it as uncharacterized. NCBI's taxonomy places the organism in Eukaryota, Metazoa, Chordata, Aves, Passeriformes, Passeridae. The record is from RefSeq and is a predicted model, not a curated record. The transcript is spliced from 4 exons.
GCCCAGCCCCGGGCCCGCACUGUCCCUUAUAUACCCCCAGCCAGGGCGGCUGCCAUGUCACAAAGGACUGUGGCCACCACAAUGUCCUGCAGUGUCACCGAGGGCUGUGACACAAGGUGCCUGUGCCACAAAGGCCACCCCGGCACGCCUGGAGCAGCCGAAGGCUCUGGGAAUGGCUGGAGCAGGGCCGGCCUUGGGGCUCGCAGCCCCUGGGUGUGAGGUGCUGAGUGAAAUGUAACUGUGAAGACUGUAACAUGGAAUAUAUUUCCAGUUUUGGGUGCUGCCCUCAGGGAUAAGGUGAAACCAAAUACUGAAACUUUGGAAGGAACAAAUGAAAGGUUCACACUCCUGAAAAAUGAAUUUUGAGGUAUGGUGGAGGUGAGACAUAAAGAAUUGAACAUGUGUCAGAAGGAGGAGAUAGAAAUGUCUUGUGUUUCCUGUUCCUGGUUAGACAGGGAGCAGGAAGUGUGAGCUGGAGAAGGAAAGUUUAGUACAGAUAUUAAAAAAAUGCACCAAAAACUUAAUCAGACUGAUUAGGGACUGUUGUCCAUGUUUCAGUUUCAAAGGUCUUUAAUUACACAUUAGGCUGAGCAAUAACUGAGGGGAAGUGGGUGUUCUGAACAACCUCCCCAAGGUGUGUGCUACCUCUUUGUCUGUCUUGCCCUCGGGUUAUGCUGCAUUAUUUCCUUCUGGUUUUUCACCUUUCAUGACAGCCUAAAGUCUCCCUGGCCCUUUGUCAAACUGCCUGGUGCUCCACAGGGAAGGAAUUCAGGCUAAUUAGGUCAAGUCCUUCAGGUCUGCUUCCAGUGUGCUUUUCAGUUUUUUUCCUUUUAGAUGUUCCAUGAUCAACUCAGUGCUGACACAUGUAUUUUAACAAUAACAGCAAACCUUUCCACUCAGAAUGGUAUGUUUAUUUCUUGGCUUCCCAGUGUACUUCAAAAAAUAAAGAUCC